CCCAAUGUGAACGUUACCAAACUGUUGCCUCGGCGGGAUCUCUGCCCCGGGUGCGUCGCAGCCCCGGACCAAGGCGCCCGCCGGAGGACCAACCAAAACUCUUAUUGUAUACCCCCUCGCGGGUUUUUUUUAUAAUCUGAGCCUUCUCGGCGCCUCUCGUAGGCGUUUCGAAAAUGAAUCAAAACUUUCAACAACGGAUCUCUUGGUUCUGGCAUCGAUGAAGAACGCAGCGAAAUGCGAUAAGUAAUGUGAAUUGCAGAAUUCAGUGAAUCAUCGAAUCUUUGAACGCACAUUGCGCCCGCCAGUAUUCUGGCGGGCAUGCCUGUCCGAGCGUCAUUUCAACCCUCGAACCCCUCCGGGGGGUCGGCGUUGGGGAUCGGCCCUGCCUUGGCGGUGGCCGUCUCCGAAAUACAGUGGCGGUCUCGCCGCAGCCUCUCCUGCGCAGUAGUUUGCACACUCGCAUCGGGAGCGCGGCGCGUCCACAGCCGUUAAACACCCAACUUCUGAAAUGUUGACCUCGGAUCAGGUAGGAAUACCCGCUGAACUUAAGCAUAUCAAUAA
This 561-nucleotide ribosomal RNA is filed under the name fungal sp. AM2013. Its description in RNAcentral is "eukaryotic LSU rRNA". The stretch from base 183 to 336 matches the Rfam family "5.8S ribosomal RNA". The record is from RNAcentral. Lineage: Eukaryota; Fungi.